GCCCGCUUAGCUCAGUGGUAGAGCGCAUCACUAGUACUCCCCUACAACGGGAAUGAUGAGGUCGCCAGUUCAAUUCUGGUAGCGGGCA
This 88-nucleotide transfer RNA is filed under the name Coniochaeta ligniaria NRRL 30616. It matches the Rfam family "tRNA". Rfam says of the family: Transfer RNA (tRNA) molecules are approximately 80 nucleotides in length. Lineage: Eukaryota; Fungi; Ascomycota; Sordariomycetes; Coniochaetales; Coniochaetaceae. The record is from Rfam by way of RNAcentral.